GUACCUCUGGGGUAUUCGUUCAUGGCUGGGUAGUACCCUUGAGCCUAAUUGCUUACCCCGGGAAUCUUGCUGCUGGUGUUGGUGUGCAUUACCGUAUUGCACGGGAAGCCUAAAGACAUCGCCGUGGUUCCCACUUGAACCUUCGGUUCAAGGUCGAAAGUCACACCGGUACUUCCGGAGUGUAC
RNAcentral lists this non-coding RNA (185 nucleotides) under Gammaproteobacteria bacterium. Its description in RNAcentral is "6S RNA". It matches the Rfam family "6S / SsrS RNA". From Rfam's summary of the family: E. coli 6S RNA was the first non coding RNA to be sequenced, but its function was unknown until recently. It consists of 184 nucleotides that fold into an extended hairpin structure with a large single-stranded internal bulge. Lineage: Bacteria; Pseudomonadati; Pseudomonadota; Gammaproteobacteria. The record is from RNAcentral.